Molecule: ribosomal RNA, 317 nt
Filed under: Streptococcus salivarius
Lineage: Bacteria; Bacillati; Bacillota; Bacilli; Lactobacillales; Streptococcaceae
Description: bacterial SSU rRNA
Rfam family: Bacterial small subunit ribosomal RNA
Source: RNAcentral
UGGCUCAGGACCGAACGCUGGCGGCGUGCCUAAUACAUGCAAGUAGAACGCUGAAGAGAGGAGCUUGCUCUUCUUGGAUGAGUUGCGAACGGGUGAGUAACGCGUAGGUAACCUGCCUUGUAGCGGGGGAUAACUAUUGGAAACGAUAGCUAAUACCGCAUAACAAUGGAUGACACAUGUCAUUUAUUUGAAAGGGGCAAUUGCUCCACUACAAGAUGGACCUGCGUUGUAUUAGCUAGUAGGUGAGGUAACGGCUCACCUAGGCGACGAUACAUAGCCGACCUGAGAGGGGAUCGGCCACACUGGGACUAGGACAC